This 102-nucleotide ribosomal RNA is filed under the name uncultured Gammaproteobacteria bacterium. RNAcentral's name for it is "partial 16S ribosomal RNA". The record is from RNAcentral. Lineage: Bacteria; Pseudomonadati; Pseudomonadota; Gammaproteobacteria.
GCCUGAAGUGGUUGUAAAGCACUUUCAAUAGGGAGGAACACCUGCUGGCGAAUACCCGGCAGACUGACAUUACCUAUACAAGAAGCACCGGCUAACUCCGUG